GAUGAACGCUAGCGGCAGGCCUAAUACAUGCAAGCCGAACGGCAAGUUUGAUAGCAAUAUUGGACCUAGAGUGGCGCAAGGGUGCGUAACACGUAUGCAACCUGCCCGCGACAGGAGGAUAGCUCCCCGAAAGGGGAAUUAACCCUCCAUAACACCAUGAGAAGGCAUCUGAUUAUGGUUAAACCGCAAGGGGUCGCGGAUGGGCAUGCGGUUGAUUAGCUAGUUGGCGGGGUAAAGGCCCACCAAGGCGGUGAUCAAUAGGGGUUCUGAGAGGAAGGUCCCCCGCACUGGCACUGGGAUACGGGCCAGACUCCUACGGGAGGCAGCAGUAGGGAAUAGUGGACAAUGGUUGCAAGACUGAUCCAGCCAUGCCGCGUGCAGGAAGAAGGCCUUCUGGGUCGUAAACUGCUUUUUCCUGUGGAUAAAAUACCCGUGCGCGAGGAAUUGAAGGUAACAGGGGAAUAAGCCACGGCUAACUACGUG
Molecule: ribosomal RNA, 483 nt
Filed under: uncultured bacterium
Lineage: Bacteria
Description: partial 16S ribosomal RNA
Rfam family: Bacterial small subunit ribosomal RNA
Source: RNAcentral